AACGACUCUCGGCAACGGAUAUCUCGGCUCACGCAUCGAUGAAGAACGUAGCAAAAUGCGAUACUUGGUGUGAAUUGCAGAAUCCCGUGAACCAUCGAGUUUUUGAACGCAAGUUGCGCCCGAAGCCAUUUGGUUGAAGGCACGUCUGCCUGGGCGUCACGCA
RNAcentral lists this ribosomal RNA (163 nucleotides) under Avellara fistulosa. RNAcentral's name for it is "5.8S ribosomal RNA". It matches the Rfam family "5.8S ribosomal RNA". Rfam says of the family: 5.8S ribosomal RNA (5.8S rRNA) is a component of the large subunit of the eukaryotic ribosome. It is transcribed by RNA polymerase I as part of the 45S precursor that also contains 18S and 28S rRNA. The record is from RNAcentral. Lineage: Eukaryota; Viridiplantae; Streptophyta; Magnoliopsida; Asterales; Asteraceae.